UACGUAGGGUGCAGGCGUUCAUCGGAAUUACUGGGCGUAAAGCGUGCGCAGGCGGUUUGCUAAGACAGGUGUGAAAUCCCCGGGCUUAACCUGGGAACUGCGCUUGUAACUGGCAAGCUUGAGUGUGGCAGAGGGGGGUGGAAUUCCACGUGUAGCAGUGAAAUGCGUAGAGAUGUGGAGGAACACCGAUGGCGAAGGCAGCCCCCUGGGCUAACACUGACGCUCAUGCACGAAAGCGUGGGGAGCAAACAGG
Molecule: ribosomal RNA, 253 nt
Filed under: uncultured bacterium
Lineage: Bacteria
Description: partial 16S ribosomal RNA
Rfam family: Bacterial small subunit ribosomal RNA
Source: RNAcentral